GAUUAGUGGCGAACGGGUGAGUAACACGUGGGCAAUCUGCCCUUCACUCUGGGACAAGCCCUGGAAACGGGGUCUAAUACCGGAUAACACUUUCCAAAGCAUUUUGGGGGGUUAAAAGCUCCGGCGGUGAAGGAUGAGCCCGCGGCCUAUCAGCUUGUUGGUGGGGUAAUGGCCUACCAAGGCGACGACGGGUAGCCGGCCUGAGAGGGCGACCGGCCACACUGGGACUGAGACACGGCCCAGACUCCUACGGGAGGCAGCAGUGGGGAAUAUUGCACAAUGGGCGAAAGCCUGAUGCAGCGACGCCGCGUGAGGGAUGACGGCCUUCGGGUUGUAAACCUCUUUCAGCAGGGAAGAAGCGAAAGUGACGGUACCUGCAGAAGAAGCGCCGGCUAACUACGUGCCAGCAGCCGCGGUAAUACGUAGGGCGCAAGCGUUGUCCGGAAUUAUUGGGCGUAAAGAGCUCGUAGGCGGCUUGUCACGUCGGAUG
Molecule: ribosomal RNA, 490 nt
Filed under: Streptomyces sp. SCAU5004
Lineage: Bacteria; Bacillati; Actinomycetota; Actinomycetes; Kitasatosporales; Streptomycetaceae
Description: bacterial SSU rRNA
Rfam family: Bacterial small subunit ribosomal RNA
Source: RNAcentral